AUGGUAAAUAACCUUCUUCUUUCACAUCUUUCCACAGAGGGGAACAUCCGGUUGUGUGUCUCUGUUAGGGACUACUACUGUUACCGGCUACAGAUGCGCCCUGUGAUAUUCAACCCCAUACUUCACGGAGCACGCCUGUUCCAGCAGUGGGGUGUCGACAUGUUCAUCAAGAUUGAGGGUUGUAGGCUGAAGUGGAUCAGGGACCACCAAACGCAGAUACAUGCUGAUCUAUACCAAGGCCUUGUGGAUAGCAUCGCAGUUGGGGAGAUGCAAGCGAGCGUUGUUGGCAAGAGGAUCGUGCUCCUAGGGACACAUCAGGGACUAGAUCCUUAG
This 333-nucleotide ribosomal RNA is filed under the name Triticum aestivum (bread wheat). RNAcentral describes it as "partial small subunit ribosomal RNA". Lineage: Eukaryota; Viridiplantae; Streptophyta; Magnoliopsida; Poales; Poaceae. The record is from RNAcentral.